AUUGAACGCUGGCGGCAGGCUUAACACAUGCAAGUCGAACGGUAACAUAAAGAAGCUUGCUUCUUUGAUGACGAGUGGCGGACGGGUGAGUAAUGCUUGGGAAUCUAGCUUAUGGAGGGGGAUAACUACGGGAAACUGUAGCUAAUACCGCGUAGAAUCGGGAGAUGAAAGUGUGGGACCUUCGGGCCACAUGCCAUAGGAUGAGCCCAAGUGGGAUUAGGUAGUUGGUGAGGUAAAGGCUCACCAAGCCGACGAUCUCUAGCUGGUCUGAGAGGAUGACCAGCCACACUGGGACUGAGACACGGCCCAGACUCCUACGGGAGGCAGCAGUGGGGAAUAUUGCGCAAUGGGGGCAACCCUGACGCAGCCAUGCCGCGUGAAUGAAGAAGGCCUUCGGGUUGUAAAGUUCUUUCGGUAGCGAGGAAGGCAUUUAGUUUAAUAAACUGGAUGAUCGACUUAACUACAGAAGAGC
Molecule: ribosomal RNA, 472 nt
Filed under: Terrahaemophilus aromaticivorans
Lineage: Bacteria; Pseudomonadati; Pseudomonadota; Gammaproteobacteria; Pasteurellales; Pasteurellaceae
Description: bacterial SSU rRNA
Rfam family: Bacterial small subunit ribosomal RNA
Source: RNAcentral